This 211-nucleotide unclassified non-coding RNA is filed under the name Ascomycota sp. RNAcentral describes it as "partial contains small subunit ribosomal RNA, internal transcribed spacer 1, and 5.8S ribosomal RNA". The stretch from base 1 to 47 matches the Rfam family "Eukaryotic small subunit ribosomal RNA", at positions 1785 to 1831 of the family's 1831-position model. Lineage: Eukaryota; Fungi; Ascomycota. The record is from RNAcentral.
AAAGUCGUAACAAGGUUUCCGUAGGUGAACCUGCGGAAGGAUCAUUAAAGGUUUAGGGUACCCAGUGCCCAAACUUCAACCCUAUGUUUACGUUAACUUGUUUCUUUGCCGGUUUAGGCCGGCAGAAGAUUUCUCAAACUCAUUAUAAAUGUGUCCUCUGAAUGAAAUAUUCAAUGUAUUAAAACUUUCAACAACGGAUCUCUUGGUUCUG